GUGUCAGCCGCCGCGGUAAUACGAAGGGACCUAGCGUAGUUCGGAAUUACUGGGCUUAAAGAGCUCGUAGGUGGUUUGAAAAGUUGGUGGUGAAAUCCCAAGGCUCAACCUUGGAACUGCCACCAAAACUUUUUGACUAGAGUGUGAUAGAGGAAAGUGGAAUUUCUAGUGUAGAGGUGAAAUUCGUAGAUAUUAGAAAGAACACCAAUUGCGAAGGCAGCUUUCUGGAUCACUACUGACACUGAGGAGCGAAAGCAUGGGUAGCGAAGAGGAUUAGAUACCCUCGUAGUCCAUGCCGUAAAUGAUGUGUGCUAGACGUUGGAAAUUUAAUUUUCAGUGUCGCAGCAAAAGCGUUAAGCACACCGCCUGGGGAGUACGACCGCAAGGUUAAAACUCAAAUGAAUUGACGGGGACCCGCACAAGCAGUGGAGCAUGUGGUUUAAUUCGAAGAUACGCGCAGAACCUUACCAACACUUGACAUGUUCGUCGCGACUUUAAGAGAUUGAAGUCUUCAGUUUGGCUGGACGAAACACAGGUGCUGCAUGGCUGUCGUCAGCUCGUGUCGUGAGAUGUUGGGUUAAGUCCCGCAACGAGCGCAACCCUUACUUUUAGUUGCCACCAUUUAGUUGAGCACUCUGAAAGAACUGCCAGUGAUAAGCUGGAGGAAGGUGGGGAUGACGUCAAGUCCUCAUGGCCCUUAAGUGUUGGGCUACACACGUGCUACAAUGGCACUCACAAUAGGAAGCAAAGAGGCGACUCUAAGCAAAUCCUAAAAAAGUGUCUCAGUUCGGAUUGUACUCUGCAACUCGAGUACAUGAAGCUGGAAUUGCUAGUAAUCGCGGAUCAGCGCGCCGCGGUGAAUACGUUCCCGGGUCUUGCACACACCGCCCGUC
RNAcentral lists this ribosomal RNA (893 nucleotides) under uncultured bacterium. Its description in RNAcentral is "bacterial SSU rRNA". It matches the Rfam family "Bacterial small subunit ribosomal RNA", at positions 505 to 1398 of the family's 1533-position model. The record is from RNAcentral.